CAGGCCUAACACAUGCAAGUCGAGCGGACUUAUCCUUCGGGAUAGGUUAGCGGCGGACGGGUGAGUAACACGUAGGCAACCUGCCUGUAAGAUCGGGAUAACUACCGGAAACGGUAGCUAAGACCGGAUAGCUGGUUUCUCCGCAUGGGGGAAUCAUGAAACACGGGGCAACCUGUGGCUUACGGAUGGGCCUGCGGCGCAUUAGCUAGUUGGUGGGGUAACGGCCCACCAAGGCGACGAUGCGUAGCCGACCUGAGAGGGUGAUCGGCCACACUGGGACUGAGACACGGCCCAGACUCCUACGGGAGGCAGCAGUAGGGAAUCUUCCGCAAUGGGCGCAAGCCUGACGGAGCAACGCCGCGUGAGUGAUGAAGGUUUUCGGAUCGUAAAGCUCUGUUGCCAAGGAAGAACGCCUCGGAGAGUAACUGCUCUGAGGGUGACGGUACUUGAGAAGAAAGCCCCGGCUAACUACGUGCCAGCAGCCGCGGUAAUACGUAGGGGGCAAGCGUUGUCCGGAAUUAUUGGGCGUAAAGCGCGCGCAGGCGGUCUUUUAAGUUUGGUGUUUAAGCCCGGGGCUCAACCCCGGUUCGCACUGAAAACUGGGAGACUUGAGUGCAGGGGAGGAAAGCGGAAUUCCACGUGUAGCGGUGAAAUGCGUAGAGAUGUGGAGGAACACCAGUGGCGAAGGCGGCUUUCUGGACUGUAACUGACGCUGAGGCGCGAAAGCGUGGGGAGCAAACAGGAUUAGAU
This 750-nucleotide ribosomal RNA is filed under the name uncultured bacterium. Its description in RNAcentral is "bacterial SSU rRNA". It matches the Rfam family "Bacterial small subunit ribosomal RNA", at positions 43 to 783 of the family's 1533-position model. The record is from RNAcentral.